ACAGUGGACGCGAGCAUCUGUGGCCAAGUUUUUAAGGGCGCACGGUGGAUGCCUUGGCACCAGGAACCGAUGAAGGACGUGAGAGGCCGCGAUAGGCCCCGGGGAGCUGCCAACUGAGCUUUGAUCCGGGGGUGUCCGAAUGGGGAAACCCGGCAGUCGUCAUGGGCUGUCACCCACUGCUGAACACAUAGGCAGUGUGGAGGGAACGAGGGGAAGUGAAACAUCUCAGUACCCUCAGGAAGAGAAAACAACCGUGAUUCCGGGAGUAGUGGCGAGCGAAACCGGAUGAGGCCAAACCGUAUGCGUGUGAUACCCGGCAGGGGUUGCGCAUGCGGGGUUGUGGGAAUGAGCUUGAUCGGUCUGCCGGCCGGUCGGCGAGUCAGAAACCGUUGAUGGAUAGGCGAAGGACAUGCGAAAGGUCCGGCGUAGAGGGUAAGACCCCCGUAGCUGAAAUCUGUACGGCUUGCUUGCUCAUCUCCCAAGUAGCACGGGGCCCGAGAAAUCCCGUGUGAAUCUGGCGGGACCACCCGCUAAGCCUAAAUAUUCCCUGGUGACCGAUAGCGGAUAGUACCGUGAGGGAAUGGUGAAAAGUACCGCGGGAGCGGAGUGAAAUAGUACCUGAAACCGUGUGCCUACAAGCCGUGGGAGCGUCGCU
RNAcentral lists this ribosomal RNA (655 nucleotides) under Streptomyces sp. NRRL S-104. RNAcentral's name for it is "bacterial LSU rRNA". It matches the Rfam family "Bacterial large subunit ribosomal RNA", at positions 1 to 586 of the family's 2925-position model. Lineage: Bacteria; Bacillati; Actinomycetota; Actinomycetes; Kitasatosporales; Streptomycetaceae. The record is from RNAcentral.